RNAcentral lists this ribosomal RNA (512 nucleotides) under Acinetobacter calcoaceticus. RNAcentral describes it as "bacterial SSU rRNA". It matches the Rfam family "Bacterial small subunit ribosomal RNA", at positions 56 to 562 of the family's 1533-position model. Lineage: Bacteria; Pseudomonadati; Pseudomonadota; Gammaproteobacteria; Moraxellales; Moraxellaceae. The record is from RNAcentral.
UGCAAGUCGAGCGGAGUGAUGGUGCUUGCACUAUCACUUAGCGGCGGACGGGUGAGUAAUGCUUAGGAAUCUGCCUAUUAGUGGGGGACAACAUUUCGAAAGGAAUGCUAAUACCGCAUACGUCCUACGGGAGAAAGCAGGGGAUCUUCGGACCUUGCGCUAAUAGAUGAGCCUAAGUCGGAUUAGCUAGUUGGUGGGGUAAAGGCCUACCAAGGCGACGAUCUCUAGCGGGUCUGAGAGGAUGAUCCGCCACACUGGGACUGAGACACGGCCCAGACUCCUACGGGAGGCAGCAGUGGGGAAUAUUGGACAAUGGGCGCAAGCCUGAUCCAGCCAUGCCGCGUGUGUGAAGAAGGCCUUAUGGUUGUAAAGCACUUUAAGCGAGGAGGAGGCUACUGAAGUUAAUACCUUCAGAUAGUGGACGUUACUCGCAGAAUAAGCACCGGCUAACUCUGUGCCAGCAGCCGCGGUAAUACAGAGGGUGCAAGCGUUAAUCGGAUUUACUGGGCGUA